GACGAGAGGGGCGAGCGUUAUCCGUCUUGAUUGGGCGUAAAGGGUUCGUAGGCGGUCUUAAGGCAGCAUUGGGUGAAAUCCUGGAGCAGAACUCCAGAAACAUCUUUUGAACGCUAAGACUUGAGGGUAACAAAGGUUUGUAUAACUUCAUGUGGAGGGGUGGAAUCCGUAGAUAUAUGAGGGAAUGCCAAGGGCGAAAGCAACAUUCUAGGUUACAUCUGACGCUGAGGAACGAAAGCGUGGGGAGCAAACAGG
RNAcentral lists this ribosomal RNA (255 nucleotides) under uncultured bacterium. Its description in RNAcentral is "partial 16S ribosomal RNA". It matches the Rfam family "Bacterial small subunit ribosomal RNA", at positions 524 to 776 of the family's 1533-position model. The record is from RNAcentral.